This 253-nucleotide ribosomal RNA is filed under the name uncultured bacterium. Its description in RNAcentral is "partial 16S ribosomal RNA". It matches the Rfam family "Bacterial small subunit ribosomal RNA", at positions 524 to 776 of the family's 1533-position model. The record is from RNAcentral.
UACGUAGGGUGCAAGCGUUGUCCGGAAUUAUUGGGCGUAAAGAGCUCGUAGGCGGUUUGUCGCGUCUGCUGUGAAAACCCAGGGCUUAACCCUGGGCCUGCAGUGGGUACGGGCAGACUAGAGUGCGGUAGGGGAGAUCGGAAUUCCUGGUGUAGCGGUGAAAUGCGCAGAUAUCAGGAGGAACACCGGUGGCGAAGGCGGAUCUCUGGGCCGUAACUGACGCUGAGGAGCGAAAGCAUGGGGAGCGAACAGG